RNAcentral lists this ribosomal RNA (492 nucleotides) under uncultured bacterium. RNAcentral's name for it is "partial 16S ribosomal RNA". It matches the Rfam family "Bacterial small subunit ribosomal RNA", at positions 29 to 507 of the family's 1533-position model. The record is from RNAcentral.
AGUGAACGCUGGCGGUAGGCCUAACACAUGCAAGUCGAACGGCAGCACAGUAAGAGCUUGCUCUUACGGGUGGCGAGUGGCGGACGGGUGAGGAAUACAUCGGAAUCUACUUUUUCGUGGGGGAUAACGCAGGGAAACUUACGCUAAUACCGCAUACGACCUACGGGUGAAAGCAGGGGAUCUUCGGACCUUGCGCGAUUGAAUGAGCCGAUGUCGGAUUAGCUAGUUGGCGGGGUAAAGGCCCACCAAGGCGACGAUCCGUAGCUGGUCUGAGAGGAUGAUCAGCCACACUGGAACUGAGACACGGUCCAGAGUCCUACGGGAGGCAGCAGUGGGGAAUAUUGGACAAUGGGCGCAAGCCUGAUCCAGCCAUACCGCGUGGGUGAAGAAGGCCUUCGGGUUGUAAAGCCCUUUUGUUGGGAAAGAAAAGCAGCAGGUUAAUACCCCGCUGUUCUGACGGUACCCAAAGAAUAAGCACCGGCUAACUUCGUG